This 500-nucleotide ribosomal RNA is filed under the name uncultured bacterium. Its description in RNAcentral is "partial 16S ribosomal RNA". It matches the Rfam family "Bacterial small subunit ribosomal RNA", at positions 30 to 523 of the family's 1533-position model. The record is from RNAcentral.
AUUGAACGCUGGCGGCAUGCCUUACACAUGCAAGUCGAACGGCAGCGCGGGAGCAAUCCUGGCGGCGAGUGGCGAACGGGUGAGUAAUAUAUCGGAACGUGCCCUAGAGUGGGGGAUAACUAGUCGAAAGAUUAGCCAAUACCGCAUACGAUCUACGGAUGAAAGUGGGGGAUCGCAAGACCUCAUGCUCGUGGAGCGGCCGAUAUCUGAUUAGCUAGUUGGUAGGGUAAAAGCCUACCAAGGCCACGAUCAGUAGCUGGUCUGAGAGGACGACCAGCCACACUAGGACUGAGACACGGCCCAGACUCCUACGGGAGGCAGCAGAGGGGAAUUUUGGACAAUGGGGGAAACCCUGAUCCAGCAAUGCCGCGUGUGUGAAGAAGGCCUUCGGGUUGUAAAGCACUUUUGUCCGGAACGAAACGGGCCGAGCUAAUAUCUUGGCCUAAUGACGGUACCGGAAGAAUAAGCACCGGCUAACUACGUGCCAGCCGCCGCAGUAA